This 68-nucleotide transfer RNA is filed under the name Niviventer fulvescens (Chestnut white-bellied rat). Its description in RNAcentral is "tRNA-His". It matches the Rfam family "tRNA". Rfam says of the family: Transfer RNA (tRNA) molecules are approximately 80 nucleotides in length. Their secondary structure includes four short double-helical elements and three loops (D, anti-codon, and T loops). Further hydrogen bonds mediate the characteristic L-shaped molecular structure. tRNAs have two regions of fundamental functional importance: the anti-codon, which is responsible for specific mRNA codon recognition, and the 3' end, to which the tRNAs corresponding amino acid is attached (by aminoacyl-tRNA synthetases). tRNAs cope with the degeneracy of the genetic code in two manners: having more than one tRNA (with a specific anti-codon) for a particular amino acid; and 'wobble' base-pairing, i.e. permitting non-standard base-pairing at the 3rd anti-codon position. The record is from RNAcentral. Lineage: Eukaryota; Metazoa; Chordata; Mammalia; Rodentia; Muridae.
GUAGAUAUAGUUUACAAAAAACAUUAGACUGUGAAUCUAAUAACAAGAGAUCAAACUCUUUAUUUACC